This 1507-nucleotide ribosomal RNA is filed under the name metagenome. Its description in RNAcentral is "bacterial SSU rRNA". It matches the Rfam family "Bacterial small subunit ribosomal RNA". The record is from RNAcentral.
AGAGUUUGAUCCUGGCUCAGGACGAACGCUGGCGGCGUGCCUAAUACAUGCAAGUCGAGCGGACAGAUGGGAGCUUGCUCCCUGAUGUUAGCGGCGGACGGGUGAGUAACACGUGGGUAACCUGCCUGUAAGACUGGGAUAACUCCGGGAAACCGGGGCUAAUACCGGAUGGUUGUUUGAACCGCAUGGUUCAAACAUAAAAGGUGGCUUCGGCUACCACUUACAGAUGGACCCGCGGCGCAUUAGCUAGUUGGUGAGGUAAUGGCUCACCAAGGCAACGAUGCGUAGCCGACCUGAGAGGGUGAUCGGCCACACUGGGGCUGAGACACGGCCCAGACUCCUACGGGAGGCAGCAGUAGGGAUCUUCCGCAAUGGACGAAAGUCUGACGGAGCAACGCCGCGUGAGUGAUGAAGGUUUUCGGAUCGUAAAGCUCUGUUGUUAGGGAAGAACAAGUACCGUUCGAAUAGGGCGGUACCUUGACGGUACCUAACCAGAAAGCCACGGCUAACUACGUGCCGGCAGCCGCGGUAAUACGUAGGUGGCAAGCGUUGUCCGGAAUUAUUGGGCGUAAAGGGCUCGCAGGCGGUUUCUUAAGUCUGAUGUGAAAGCCCCCGGCUCAACCGGGGAGGGUCAUUGGAAACUGGGGAACUUGAGUGCAGAAGAGGAGAGUGGAAUUCCACGUGUAGCGGUGAAAUGCGUAGAGAUGUGGAGGAACACCAGUGGCGAAGGCGACUCUCUGGUCCGUAACUGACGCUGAGGAGCGAAAGCGUGGGGAGCGAACAGGAUUAGAUACCCUGGUAGUCCACGCCGUAAACGAUGAGUGCUAAGUGUUAGGGGGUUUCCGCCCCUUAGUGCUGCAGCUAACGCAUUAAGCACUCCGCCUGGGGAGUACGGUCGCAAGACUGAAACUCGAAGGAAUUGACGGGGGCCCGCACAAGCGGUGGAGCAUGUGGUUUAAUUCGAAGCAACGCGAAGAACCUUACCAGGUCUUGACAUCCUCUGACAAUCCUAGAGAUAGGACGUCCCCUUCGGGGGCAGAGUGACAGGUGGUGCAUGGUUGUCGUCAGCUCGUGUCGUGAGAUGUUGGGUUAAGUCCCGCAACGAGCGCAACCCUUGAUCUUAGUUGCCAGCAUUCAGUUGGGCACUCUAAGGUGACUGCCGGUGACAAACCGGAGGAAGGUGGAGAUAACGUCAAAUCAUCAUGCCCCUUAUGACCUGGGCUACACACGUGCUACAAUGGACAGAACAAAGGGCAGCGAAACCGCGAGGUUAAGCCAAUCCCACAAAUCUGUUCUCAGUUCGGAUCGCAGUCUGCAACUCGACUGCGUGAAGCUGGAAUCGCUAGUAAUCGCGGAUCAGCAUGCCGCGGUGAAUACGUUCCCGGGCCUUGUACGCACCGCCCGUCACACCACGAGAGUUUGUAACACCCGAAGUCGGUGAGGUAACCUUUUAGGAGCCAGCCGCCGAAGGUGGGACAGAUGAUUGGGGUGAAGUCGUAACAAGGUA